Lathyrus oleraceus (garden pea) is the source of this 1322-nucleotide long non-coding RNA. RefSeq lists it as uncharacterized. The transcript is spliced from 3 exons. The record is from RefSeq and is a predicted model, not a curated record. NCBI's taxonomy places the organism in Eukaryota, Viridiplantae, Streptophyta, Magnoliopsida, Fabales, Fabaceae.
GAUUGCCCAGGUGUACCAUUCACUUUUGUUCGAUUUACUCUUCGUUUUCCGCUUUUGUUUUGGUUUCCUGCUCUUGCGUCAUGCUUCUGUUUUGUGAGGUUCCUCUUCCUUUUUUCGAAGCCUCUUGCUACCGUGUGUGUUUUGCGAGAUUGAUGUGUCUUGCUGCGAAUACUUUGCAGAUGGAUGUUGCGCUUAAUGGACAACAAUACUGAGGGAGAAUCCAACUAUGGAGUGUGAAUCCUGGACUAUUAUGAAGCAACUCCUCCGACUCGAAGUGGAACGCUUUCUUUCGAUGUGGUGACUCGACGACAACGGCUCCAACAGGUGAAACAGAAACAGGGUGAUUGGAGAGUGAAGAGGAGAAUUGAGAUAUGGAGAAAAAGAAGAUUGAAGAAGAAAAAAAAAAUGAAGAAAAAAAUGAAGUUUCGGUUGCCUAGUUAUUAGCAGCUUUGGGUUUUGUUUAAGCUAGCCUGAUAUUUGUUGCACCGCGAUUAUGACUACUCAAUGGCGUGGCCUUGCGACAUAGCUCCCAUGAAAUCUUGGCAACAUUGGCUUAUCGUUGGAGUUGCACACUACCGCCGAUCUUUUCCAUGAUCAAUUUGGGACGGAUCUUCGGUGAGUUCAGUGUUACCAUACCCACUGUUUUUAGCAUCACAAUCAUCCAUUGUUUCCGGUAUGUUUUGAUUUUCAUAAUUAUGCUUCUUGAACUCUGUUGUAGGUGGAUCGAUUAGUAUGUUGUGAUGUGUUUUCAGGACAAUUCAAAAUGUUGUGAGUCUGUUAGCUGCGGCAAAUUAUUAUGGAGUUUUUUAGUGAAUUAGAUCGAUAUAUGUUUGUAUGUUAUACUGUCAUUUUCCGGAAACCAAAGUAAUUGGAAAUCAAAAUGCACACGAGACUCUCCUUUAUUCAGGAAGAAUUGAAAUUAAAACUGCCAUGUUGUUAUUUUAAUGUUAAUUAAAACUGGCUAGAAUUGAAAUUCAGAUGAAAAUUAUCUGUUAGUUACCGUUAGGGGGUUAGAACUGAUUAAAUUGUCUUGUUCAAUUCUGCAGGGUUGCCGCUUGAGAAGUUCUGGAUGUGGGUGCACAACACUUACCGUUUUGAGAACCUUCAUGCUAGAGAUGCCCUUGAAUUAAUGGUCGGAAGAAUGAAUGUACUUGAACCCAGCCAGGAUUUUAGAACAGAAAUUGCUGCUAGUUCUUAAUGGCUUCCAAUGUAAAAAAAUGACUGGUCUCGGUGUUAUUUUAUUUAAGUUUGAAAAAAUAUUGUGGAUCUGUUAUGAAACAAGUUAGUGAUUUUAGUAAUGCUCAAUUGGUUGUGUUUGAAAC